Molecule: ribosomal RNA, 217 nt
Filed under: uncultured bacterium
Lineage: Bacteria
Description: partial 16S ribosomal RNA
Rfam family: Bacterial small subunit ribosomal RNA
Source: RNAcentral
CCAUCCCAGUUCGGAUUGCAGGCUGCAACCCGCCUGCAUGAAGUUGGAAUCACUAGUAAUCGCGGAUCAGCAUGCCGCGGUGAAUGCGUUCUCGGGCCUUGUACACACCGCCCGUCACACCAUGAGAGUCGGGAACACCCGAAGUCCGUAGCCUAACCGCAAGGGGGCGCGGCCGAAGGUGGGCUCGAUAAUUGGGGUGAAGUCGUAACAAGGUAAC